AUCUAGACUUACGGGCGAUCUCUGGGAUGGCCAGUCAGCGGGGUGGUCUCCUGGGUCCCCAGCCUCGCCAUUCUGUGGGGGGUGGUGACUGGGCGAACUCUCAGAUGCCUCAGCACCCUCCCACCCCUUCCUCAGGCAGAACGAGAUCUUGUGGCGGGAGGUGGUGACACUUCGGCAGAGCCACGGUCAGCAGCACCGGGUCAUUGGCAAGGCGGGGCCGAGCAAUGCAGGAGGCAAGAGAAAGCUGUCCCUGAUGCUGGAUGAGGGGAGCUCAUGCCCAACACCUGCCAAGUUCAACACCUGCCCUCUACCUGGUGCCCUUCUGCAGGACCCUUACUUCAUCCAGUCGCCUUCUACUUACAGCCUCU
This 368-nucleotide small RNA is filed under the name Pan troglodytes (chimpanzee). RNAcentral's name for it is "retained intron". Lineage: Eukaryota; Metazoa; Chordata; Mammalia; Primates; Hominidae. The record is from RNAcentral.